UGUGAGGUAUGAUUUGCAAGGAUCACACUAGUCUUAUGUAAAGUGUGCAGGCUCUGCCACAUUGUGAAGUUUGAAUCGAACCUUUCACACUGGAUCUCUGCAGCCUGAAUCACAUCCAAUCAUUAGCUAAUGCCUGCCAAUUCCCUAUUAAGUGCAAUCUGACAUCAUUGCCCAUACAGUCAGCAGCAACCUCUUAAGUCAUCCCAAUACUUUCCAUCAGAUUCAUCAACAUCUUUGGGAAAAUAUCUUAAGCGAACAAUUCUUCUAGAAGACAAUGAAAAUAAGACAGAAAAGACAUAUCUAUCGACUAAAAAGUACAUUGAUUCUGAAGCACACUGAAGGUCUUUCCCCCUCCCAUACUCCUCUUAUUUCCCCCCUUUAAACCAGUAUUUAUCAUGUAACUGUGGUUUUACAAGCCACGCCUCCUGAUCAUGUACACCCAGUCAUUUCUCCAGCGGAGGUUUAACCUUGGAGCUGACCUUCUUUCUCCCCUACUCUCAUGCCCUUGCUAAUGAUGAAGCAAAGCCAUAGUAGGCCCAAGGCCCUGGGAGGCCCCAGCUGUUCUCCAUUCCAACCACAUGGGGCUAAACCCUCCCCUUCCCACAGGAACAGUUUUUUAUUAGGCCCCAAACUUGGAGCCCUCAAUUUCUUACAAUGACCUUUUAUUCCUUGUUUACCCUCUUUCUUUGCAAACUUCAGUCCGACCCCAUGGGAGCCCAGUGGGAAGGCUCUGUGAGCUGGACAGAACUCAUUGCUUCCCAGCAGCUUUCAAGUUCUGUGCCCAACCUGAAUUCUUCAGGGUGAGCUUUCUGCAUCUGCAGCUCCAUCCUAGGACUGUCCCCUCCAGACAGUGCCAGUUUUUCUUUCAGUCCUGCUCUUGUUCCCUAGAGUAACCCCUACCCUACCUCCUGAUAGAGAGGAUGUAUGCAAAGUGCCUAGGAGCAUCUCUAAGUACAUGCUCAAACAGAAAGUUACAACAUUUUUCAUUGAGAGGAGUCUAAGCUGGGCACUGAUAUGUACUUGUAGUCCCAACUACUCAGGAUGCUAAGACAGGAGGAUCACGUGAGCCCAGGAGUUCGAGACCAGCCUGGGCAACAUGGCAAGGCUGAGGAAUAAAUUUUAAAAAUGAAAACAUUGAAUGUACCCAUCCCCAGAAGGAAAGGCAGAAGGACCUCAUGGACAGGGAAUAGCAGAAUCAUCUCUCCAGUCCCUUACUUUUUGUCUGAGUGUUAUGGUUUGAAUAUGAAGUGCCCCCCUCCCCAAAGCUCAUGUUAGGCAAUGUAGCAUGAGAUUAGAUGUACCUCUAGAUCAUUUCAGAGGGAAAUUAUUAGAUUAUGAGAGCUGUACUCUAAUCAGUGUAUUAACCCAUUUGUUGGAUUAAUAAUUCAAAGAGAUUAUUGUGUGGUAACCGUGUAGCAGGUACACUGUAGCUGCAGGAAGGUACAGUGUAGCUGGAGGAGGUCAGUCAGUGGGGGCGUGCCCUUGGAGAUUAUAUUUGUCCUGGCUCCCCUGACUCUCUCUCUCUCUCUCUCUCUCUCUCUCUCUCUCUCUCUCUCUCUCUCUGCUUCCUGGCUACCAUGAACUGACCAGCUUCCUUCAGCCCCUCCCUUCUGCUAUGAUGUUUUGGCCUCAUCUCAGGCCUAGAGCAAUGGAGUCUGCCGACAAUGGACUGAACCUCUGAAACCAUAAGUCAAAAUAAACUUUACCCCUCUAAGUUGUUCUUGUCAGCUAUUCUAGUCACAGUGAUUAAAAACUGGCCAACACACUGGUCAUGUUCCUUUGCAUAGGAUGAGACUAAGGCCUGGCCAAAGUUAUGUAAAUGUGGUGCCCAAUCCCUUACUCUCCGAGUAGACAUAGUUCACUUCUCAUGAAUUAAAUGCAGGCAUAAUGCCACCACCAAAUGUCUUUGUUGGAAUCUUCCCACUGUCAAAGUUGAGGAAACCCACUAAGGGUUUUGAUUUCCUAAGCAAAAUUUUCUCAACCUGCAGAGCCAAACUGUACUGUCUCCUUCACAAAACAUGAUUACCAACUACUUAAACCAAGAAAGGCAUGGGAGUGUAGCUCCGGUGACCACGCAGUCCCUGCUCAGGUCAGUUUCCUGCUCUUCCUACCAAACCUGUCAAAGCAAUUAAAUGUGUGAACCACACUACUUAUGCGUUUCCAGGGCUGUCUAAGUCACGGCCAUGCUAAGGGACUGAAACACAUCCCUUGAACACCACAGAAAAGGCAAACAGAAAUUCCCUUCUCCAAAGUCAAAACCAUCACCAACUCCAAAAGUGAGCCCAGGCCAGGUGUCCCACAGGGACGAACCCUUCAGGUGGGAAGCAGUGCCCAGGCCCCACUGACAAUUGCUGAUUGUGAUUUAUUAGUGGGGGGAAAUUUGGAAUUGGAAUUUUACCGUUGGGAUUUACUUGCAUUUGAAAGCAAUGCAGUUAGUAGCCCAUCUUUCAACACUGAAUGUAUUUUCUCCACUUUUAUAUCUUUCUGAUGAAUUAAGCACUUAUGUAAGGUGAGGGAUUGAGAACAUUAGCAGCUGAUUCUCUCAGUGGCUCUGCUUGCCAGAUAUGGCUGGAUAGAAAAGCGCAGGAACCGGUUUCACAUUGUUCUUCCACAAAAGUGGUUCCAAUGUGAACCAGGAUGGUUUCCCUAGUCCCACAAUGGAUGGGUAACUUGAAUUCCUUGCCCAGCAUAUCCCCAAGCCAUUUUGAACAAGCGUGCUAAUUGAAUCCAGUUGUUUGCCAUUUCAAAUAUUCCUUCUUUCCACAGAGCAAUAAUAUAGUAAAUUCAUUUCAUCUGUCAUCCAAGAAUUGGAGCAUGCAUUACCAGCUGACUUGUGUUCACCUUUAUCCCAGAUUUUUAAAAUAUGUUUACAAUGUAAUUAAAAACAAUCUGGUCAAAUUAUCUAUUUGAAUUGGUUGGUCUCUUUGGGGGGAGAUAAGGGAGGAGAUGAGGUGGCUACG
Molecule: long non-coding RNA, 2960 nt
Filed under: Marmota monax (woodchuck)
Lineage: Eukaryota; Metazoa; Chordata; Mammalia; Rodentia; Sciuridae
Source: RNAcentral